Molecule: small RNA, 428 nt
Filed under: Pongo abelii (Sumatran orangutan)
Lineage: Eukaryota; Metazoa; Chordata; Mammalia; Primates; Hominidae
Description: retained intron
Source: RNAcentral
CUGGGUUUUUUGUUUUCUAGGAGUUGGCCUGGGCCCUGCCCUGGAGUUUUGUAUUACCGUCAACCCCAGCAUCCUUCCCACUGCUUUCAUGGGCACAGCAAUGAUCUUCACCUGCUUCACCCUCAGUGCACUCUAUGCCAGGCGCCGUAGCUACCUCUUUCUGGGAGGUAUCUUGAUGUCAGCCCUGAGCCUGUUGCUUUUGUCUUCCCUGGGGAAUGUUUUCUUUGGAUCCAUUUGGCUUUUCCAGGCAAACCUGUAUGUGGGACUGGUGGUCAUGUGUGGCUUUGUCCUUUUUGAUACUCAACUCAUUAUUGAAAAGGCCGAACAUGGAGAUCAAGAUUAUAUCUGGCACUGCAUUGAUCUCUUCUUAGAUUUCAUUACUCUCUUCAGAAAACUCAUGAUGAUCCUGGCCAUGAAUGAAAAGGUUA